RNAcentral lists this ribosomal RNA (420 nucleotides) under uncultured bacterium. RNAcentral describes it as "bacterial SSU rRNA". It matches the Rfam family "Bacterial small subunit ribosomal RNA", at positions 56 to 524 of the family's 1533-position model. The record is from RNAcentral.
UGCAGUCGAACGAACCUUCGGGUUAGUGGCGGACGGGUGAGUAACGCGUGAGAAUCUGCCCUCAGGAGGGGGAUAACGGCUGGAAACGGCCGCUAAUACCCCAUAUGCCGAGAGGUGAAACGAAUUUCGCCUGAGGAUGAGCUCGCGUCUGAUUAGCUAGUUGGUGGGGUAAGAGCCUACCAAGGCUUCGAUCAGUAGCUGGUCUGAGAGGAUGAUCAGCCACACUGGGACUGAGACACGGCCCAGACUCCUACGGGAGGCAGCAGUGGGGAAUUUUCCGCAAUGGGCGAAAGCCUGACGGAGCAACGCCGCGUGAGGGAUGAAGGCCUCUGGGCUGUAAACCUCUUUUAUCAAGGAAGAAGAUCUGACGGUACUUGAUGAAUAAGCCACGGCUAAUUCCGUGCCAGCAGCCGCGGUAAU